Molecule: long non-coding RNA, 764 nt
Organism: Tyto alba (common barn owl)
Lineage: Eukaryota; Metazoa; Chordata; Aves; Strigiformes; Tytonidae
Exons: 5
Source: RefSeq, a predicted model, not a curated record
GGCAGGUGCCUGGAUGGCCUGUAGUCUUCGUCAAAAAUUGCAGAGCUCCACCAGCCCCAAACCUGGUUGGGAAAUGCUCCAUAAAGCCCCAGUCGCCACGGCACGGGUGUGAGGAGCACCUCCCCUGCAGCCACGGCACCGUGAGAGGGGUCGAGGGGGGCAGAGGACUUCCCACGGGGACCAACGCUGGGGUCCGACCCCCGGGGACAGGGAAGCCACAGUCCCGCUGCCCGGCCGCCUCCUGCACCAGCAGGGCCAGGCGCAGCAAAGGUUAACACCAGGGCAGACCAAGAAUUCAGGGAAACCGAAACUCAGCAAAGGGGUUUCUUGGAAAUCUGCUCUCCCGGUGUCAUCUGGGGCCCCGGUGAUCAGCGGCAGCUGCGCUCCACAGCACUGACCUCCUGCUCGACGGCGGACGGACAGGAUCAGGCUUGGGCCGGAGCCAGCUCAGCUCUUGCUCCAGCAGUUGCCUCGCUCCUGCCCAGCCCACCAUGGGUACUAUUGCUGCCUGCGCCAUCGGGGUGGCCAUAGGGCUCGGGAUCGCGGCUGUGGUGCCGGUAGCCCUGGACGCUCUGGGUUUCACCGGGGCAAGAAAAGGAGCCCGGUUGGUGGCCUCGAGGAUCCUGGUGGGCGUAGAAGUGUUGCUCAGCACAGCAAAAGAGAUGUUUGUCCUGUCAGCUGUCCUCAGGGCUUUCUUUCUGUGACCCCCCCACACACACACACCUCCCCGAUCCCCAGGAGGACCCUCACAGAUGUCUGCCGUG